AACGAACGCUGGCGGCGCGCCUAACACAUGCAAGUCGAACGAGAAUCCGGGGCGACCCGGUAGUAAAGUGGCAAACGGGUGAGGAAUACAUGGGUAACCUACCCUUGAGAAGGGAAUAACCCGCCGAAAGGUGAGCUAAUACCCUAUACGCUAUCUUUUUUUCGAAAGGAUAGGAAAGCCGGGUCGAGGACCUGGUACUCAAGGAGGGGCUCAUGUCCUAUCAGCUUGUUGGUGGGGUAACGGCCUACCAAGGCUACGACGGGUAGCUGGUCUGAGAGGAUGAUCAGCCACACUGGCACUGAGAGACGGGCCAGACUCCUACGGGAGGCAGCAGUGAGGAAUAUUGCGCAAUGGGCGAAAGCCUGACGCAGCGACGCCGCGUGGGGGAUGAAGGUUUUCGGAUUGUAAACCUCUUUUGGCAGGAACAAACCUGCGCUAUACGCGCAGCUGAGGGUACCUGCAGAAUAAGCACCGGCUAACUCCGUGCCAGCAGCCGCGGUAAUGUAGUCG
Molecule: ribosomal RNA, 510 nt
Filed under: uncultured bacterium
Lineage: Bacteria
Description: bacterial SSU rRNA
Rfam family: Bacterial small subunit ribosomal RNA
Source: RNAcentral